Molecule: long non-coding RNA, 6344 nt
Filed under: Gallus gallus (chicken)
Lineage: Eukaryota; Metazoa; Chordata; Aves; Galliformes; Phasianidae
Description: lncRNA (ENSGALG00010020800.1)
Source: RNAcentral
CAGUCCUGGCACUACUUGCAAGGGCCUCAACGCUGGAAGAAAUAGAUUUGGAUGCUCUUCAAAGAACGCUGCUGUGGUUCUGCCGUUUUUAACUUUUUACCUUGCUGUUCUUUCUCCCCACCUCUUCCCUGGGGAACUGAAGGGAUUCCUGAAGCUGUGUAGAAAUUCCAUAGUAAACAAAAAAUCUGGCAAAUUCUAUCCAUCCCAUGGAACAUGGACAGAUAUUCAUGAUUCUCUGUGGAGUAACAGGAUCGUGUGAGCUGGACGGGCUGCAGGUCGUUCCAAAAAAGACAGGGACAGAACAGCCAAUGGAAAACCGCAACUCCUCUGCUGUGUGCCCAUCCUGGGAAAAGGAACCUCCAUCUCCUGGGUGCUGGGGACCCCUCCUGCCUUUGUGAGACAGCGCAGGUGACAUUUUGUGAAGGCCAGAGGUUUGAUCAUGAUGUUCUGGCCUUUAAAUCCCUCUAGAGGGGAAGAGUUGUUGUAGUUGUUCUUGUGUAUUUGGGAUGGAGAAAUCGGUGCCUUUGUUCGCGUUACGCUCUCCGGUAUUGCCUGCUGCCCAGCAACUAGGAGGCAUCAAUGUGUUUUUUGGAAAACUUUUAAAGGCACAUCUGAGUGAUUCUGACAGCGGCUGCGUGCCUGUGGCUAAUGAAAGGUUUUCACAUUCUUUUCCAUAUACUUCAAAAUGCCAAAGGAAAUGUCCCAGUGACUCAAAUUAUAGGUGUUGCUCAGGAGAAAUGGCUGCAUUGUUGUUGAACACUUGGAAUUGGCAGCAGGCUGGAAGAAGAAGGCACUGGGCACCCAUAGCUGCCUUAGCCACCUCCAGCAGCAGGUCAGUGUGCGAGCCACAGCCUAAUGGGACCAGCCCUGUCCCACUGCCACACUCUGCUCUGAUUCUGUCUCUCAAACCCGCCUGUUCCCUGCGGAAACAAAAGUGAGGUUUGUUUCAGUCUCAAAGCAUUCAUCCCGUGAAAUUAAGCCAUGGAUGGAUUUGGAGAGGUAUCUUUGCUGAUAUUACUGGACAUUCAUAAGAGGAUAAAGUGUAUCUGCAUCCCACAGCUGGAGAUGUUCUGCAGUCCCUCUGCUAUUUAUUUUAUUUCUUUAACAUCUUGACAGUAAAACUGUUGGAACCAGGUUUGCCAAAGAUAUUUCUUUUUCUUCCAACCUAUCAUCUCCUCUCAACCUGUCUAAGGAAAGCAUUCUUGGCAUGGCAGAGGGAGCCCUUUAUCCCACUGCUUUGCCUUUGAAGUUGAGCUCUGCAACACGAUUGGGAUAUGGCCAGGAAAGAAAAAACGAAGUAUGGCGCUGCCAGUUGGCUGCAUGUUCAUUGUGCAAAGGUGGUAUUGGAGGAAAAACUUCCAUCUCACAGAAGAAGCAGUGGGAGGACGGUAUUGUUGGUUCUGUUUACAUUACUUGAUGCAACACGGAAGCUGCAUUCAAGAUUGAGGCCCAGGUGUGCUAUAUACAAACUCAGGUUGGCAGCCAGCUCCUGCACUGAUGGAUUUCAUGCAAGCAACAAGUCCACACCACAGGCGGCGUUUCGGGCUCCGCACUGCAAGGUUUCGUGAAGGAUCAGCCCAUGAGUACACGAGGAUGUUGGAUCGGGGUUUGGAUGGGGAUCUUGCUGAACAGGCACAGAGAAGUUACAAGGCUCUGGGGACAGGAGUGGGAGACAUUCAGCUCUGCUCAUGUUAGUGGAAGCUUUGCUGCAGAAUGGAGCGUCCAAGAGCCCGCCCUUGCUGCAUGACUGUCACCGCUUGACCCAGGAUCCAGGCUUUAUGUGUGCUGAGAUAACAGAGCGGACAAAGAGUCCAAUACUCCGUUGGGAAACAUGAAGUUAAGAAAAAGGAAUGCUAAAAAAACAGUGUUUUUCCCCAAAUUCCUCCACAUUUUCACAAGCACUUACUCGCACACCAUUCCUCUCUUAUGAGCUGAGAUGUGUUAUUGUAUUGGGAACGCACACGGGAGCCUCAGCCCAUGGCUGUGCAGUGAUUGCUGCUCCCUGGGGCUCGGCAGGAGGAGGUGCCCCGUGUGCAGUACAGCCCUGGGGAACCCUCCUGCCCCAUUCCCAGCCCCAGGCGGUGCUGUUCUAUGGAGCUACCGGAGAUGGGAAGGAUCAUCCAUCCACUGGCUGCUUCCAGACUGCUGUUUGUUUGGGAAAAUCACACUGGAGAUAAGAUGUUAAAACACAGAUAAUGACAUUUCCUUGAUAUGAGUGUAAUUCUCAUAGGCUGCUUUGAGUUCUGCCCUACGUGCCUCCACAUGGCUUCGCUUCGGGUCUCUGCUGAAAGCGACAGGGGAGAGUCCUGCACUGUUGACAUUUGCUCUACAAAAACAUUUCCAGCUCUUCUUAGGGCCUUUUUUCAGCCACAGAAACCAGUCCAACCACUUCCCCACCAACACUGUGUUCUUCACGAGGAGCAGAUGGGGCUGGCUGCCAUCGUGCCUCUGCCCUUCUCUCAUUAACACCUCUUCGUCUCACGCUGGGGAAAUUUGGAACUUCCAUCCUGAACAGAGGGCAAAUGGAGCUGCGUGGAGACCCACUCUAACAGUGUGCAAAGCCCAUGUGAAAAUAGAAGAGCCUUCCAAGCCUGCGGGCCCUGCUGUCUGUUAUGGCAGCCGUGGGGUGUAAUAAACUUUUAAGCGGAGCUGAGUGGUGCGGGGCUCUGUUGGCAAUGUUGCAGUGAAUGCUCUGUCCAAGCGCCCACAGAAUCAUAGAAUCCUUGGAGUUGGAAGGGACUUUAAAGGUAUCUGGUCCAAAUCCCCUGCCACUUACAGGGACAGGCAUAGCUCCAUCAGGUAGCCCAGAGCCUGGUCCAGCCCAGCCUCGAAAGUCUCCAGGGAUGGGGCAUCACCACCUCUCCAGGCACAGGUCAUGCAGCUGAGCACCCAAUUCUCCCCCGACCAACAUUGGGACAGGGGCAUUUUGCUCUGUGCUCUGCUCUCUGCCCCUGGUUCAGGCUGAGCACAGGGACAUUGCUUGGAGAAGAGGCAGCACAGCACCAGGGCUAUGGACUCUGAUUCAUGUUAGGCAGAAGGCUUCUCUGCACUGUCAUUAAAAGAGAGUGUGUGUGUGAGGCUGAUGGACUGUGCCAUGCAGCUUUGAAAUCCGAGCAGAUUCCUCCAGGCUAUGUUUACGCUACAGCAUAAUUUGUGUGUGUGAAAGAGCCUCUACUUCUAUUUCAGCAACAUUACAAGGAUGGAAGUCAUACCCUCUGACAGCCUCUUUGCUGCUCUGUGGGGACGUCCCGCAGCCCGGGGUGUCUGUGCAGGAGGGGACCCGGCUGAGCCACCGCAGCAGAGCCGUGUCCUGAGUGGAUGCAGAAACCAUCCCAAGGAGCAGCUCCUGCCCCAGAGUCACACACAGAGCCCCACUGUGGCCAUGGCCCGGCCAGAGCCUUGGGAUGCAGACAGGCAUCACUCAGACACAAACCUGCAUCUGCUUCCAAAGCCAUCAGCACGUGACAGCUCCACGUCCCAUCAAAAUGCUAUCUUUCAGAGGGAUAAUGUCCUUCAGAGGGAUGAAGAGCAGCAGUUCCAUGAACCCGAGUGACGGUCCGGUCCCUGCGUGUGACUUAAUUCAGGUGACAAUGUGGAAGCACAGCGUGGACAGACAGCCCCAAACCCUUUUAAAACGGGGAGCAGACGUGGAAGUCAGCUCAGAUCCAACAGUGACCGCACUCCCAUUCUUUUUACAUUUACAGUAAUGGAGCUGUGGGCUUCCAAGUGUCCUGCACUACUGAUUGCAGAUUUUAAUGAGCUUUAAAUUACCAAAGGGGUUUGUGGGUCAGAUGCCUUAAGAACAGGAACCGUUCCCAGAUGCUGAAUGCGGGGUUCAAAAGGCCCUCCUGAAGCCACGCAAGCAGGACACCCAUGGCCCUGCUGCCAAGAGUCUGAGUGCCCUUGCCUUGCCCUACUUAUCUGAAGAGCCUGUCAGCAUGUUCUAUAACCAGUGGAAACCACUUUAGAGCCGGAGCCAGACACCGAGGUGCCGGGGUCCACAUUUCAUUUCUCUGCAUGGGAAAGUUGUGCAGCAGAAGGGCCAGACCCUUCUCUGAGCAGCAUUCUUCUGCCUAUCUCGUUCUCAGCCCUGAGCUGGCAUGUUUGAGGAUUGACACAGGCUGUGCAGUUUGUACAUUUAUUUAUUUUUUUUCUAACAAAGAGAAAAAUGUGACCAUUAACAAUUGCUGCAGAAGGUUAAGCUUUAAGCUGUAGCAGUUUUCAGUGCAAUGUGAGAAUUUUAAUGGCGUGCUUGCAGAGAAUUCAAGCUCCACUGUGGGAAGAGUGUCUCAGCACUCUAUAACCCAAGCUCUUCUGGAUUGACCUAUAGGACAAACCCACUCCUAGCACAGCCUUGCUCUUGCCACACUGCUCCCCACAUCUUGCCCCCAUUUCCCUCAAGUAUUUCCUUCCUGGACAAGUCAAUCAGUUCUGCAUUGUGCAAGCAGGACCAGCAGCGCUUCCCCACUGGGAAGGAUGGAGGAGGUGGGCACGAGGACUUCAGAGACGUGGGAACAACAGCCCACCACAACGGCCUCUGAGCAAAGCGGUCCUACAGGAGUGGCCACAGGCCCAGCGAUGGGAGAAAAGAGCUGUAACUCACGGAGGCUCUGCAACGCAGAGAUUUCUUUGUCAGGAGAAUGUUUUCCUAGGGACAGGUUCUGCUUCUUAAGAAACACUUCAGAUAUUAUUACUUCACACAGAUUCCUGGUUGGGGAAAAAUAGUGUUUAAAACCAGCCAGAACUGUUAAAAUUUAUGGUAUCAAAAUAUAUUCUGUCAAAAUAUUUAUACCAUAAACCAUCAUCAUUAACUGUCCCCUCGUGCUGCUCUUGGGAAAGAGGGGAGAGGAAUCUGAGACGUCUGAUGUGUAAAUUCCUUCGUUUAUCACUGUUUUAUUGCCUGGCAUGGCAACAGAAAGUGGCUUUAGAGUCUGAAUGAAUCUGGGUCUGAAGGAAUUCCUGUUGUCGAACGGCCCUUCUGUGGGCUGCAGGGGUGUUUUCUGAGUGACAUAUUUCCAGAGGCACCUACACGCAUAUACACACAUACUUGGCAUCCCAGCCCACAUGCCAGCACAUGUUGUGAGCCUACAUUUACCCUCCAGGAGUUGAGUAAGCACGCUCCCAUUGAAUUAUCUGGCAGCGGGAAGGGACAUGGGGCUGUGGAUAAAGAUAGGAGGCUGAAAUAGGUCUGCAUGAGACCAGGAUGCUCUAAGCUUCAUGGCUAUGCCUUGAGGUUGUGUAAAGUUUGUGUAUAGCUGGAUAUGGAUCCAGCACACCCCACGAGACCCCACACUGCUGCUGCUUCCCCACUUAACCCAGGGGUCUGCCCAUCGGGCAGCACUGAGCUCUGCUACCGUAUCGCUCCAGGGCGAGCAAGCAGUGCUGCAGUCCUUCAUAAAAAUGAAUUGUUUUGCUUCCUGGAAUUAUUACUUUCUGCCGUAUCACUUGUCUAUUAAUUACCCGUGCUUUUGGAUGAAAAGCAGCAGACAGACAGGAGCGCAUUACGCGCGUGAUUGAAGGCGCGGGGUUACGGAGUCGUUCUCUCUUAUUAUCUCACCAAAGUUUGGGUCUAAUGGAGUGGCUGUUAAUAUUCACGUUCAUUUGACUGUGAAUGCCUGGAAAAAAAAAGCAUCUAUGGGUUUAUUUAUCUUGGCGAAGGCAGUCCAGUACAUACAAUGCAUCUUUAGUUUUUGUAACAAGUUGAAAAACAGGGUGGAAAUGGGGAUGUCUGGAGAGCACGGUGAAGGGUGUCUGGGCAAGAGCCCGCACUGGGAGCUGCAGAGGAGCCUAAGGGAGCUCCAAAGGAAUCCAAAAAAGACCAAAGGAUCUCCAAGGAGCUCCAAAGGUAUCCAAAGGAGCCCAAAGAAGCUGCAAGGAGCCCAAAGGACUCCAGAGAAGCUCUAAAGGAGCCCAAAGGAGCUCUAAAGCUGUCCAGAGGAGCCUCAGGGAGGUGCUGCAGUGGGUCCCAGGCUGUGUUCCCUCUCCUCUGCCAACUCCAUGCCCCAAGUCUGCCUUAAAACCCAACAAAUGUGUGUUUCUUUGCAUCAUAACAAAGCAGUUCUUAUUCUCUGCCUCCUCCUCUUUGUGCUAUUGGCGUUUCUGGGUUUUCAGCUGUUCCCUGUAACCGUGAGGGCUACAAAAUGUCUUCUGAAAAAAACUGAAAGUUGAGACUCUGGUAUAUUCACAGGUCUCCCAGGACAGAGGCUUUACAAAAGCCAUCAAAUACGAGGAUACGACUGAACAAGUUGGCAAUAGCAAGGUUUUCAUGUCCAAGUGUUUGUGUGAGUGAAAGCCCAGAUUCUCAUCUGUCUGAACAUUAUAUGGUGUGAUAAGGUAACAAAGUG